CCUCCAAUCCAAUCUUUGAAGCCAUCUAUACACCAUCCAAUUCCUCUUUCCAAUCUGUUUUAGUAGCUUACAUCAAGAACCGCAGAUUUUUAACCUCUGACACCCCCAAACCACUAGCUAUCGUCACUGCUCUGCAUGAAUCCCAUGUCCAGGCAACCGUUAUUUGUGCCAAGUUUCAUGGCUUGCAGAUCAGAAUCAGGAGUGGUGGCCAUGAUUUUGAGGGUCUUUCUUAUAGAUCUGACGUCCCAUUUGUGAUUCUUGACCUGUUCAAUCUCCGGUCUAUAGACAUAGAUAUUGCCUCUGAGACUGCGUGGG
This 315-nucleotide unclassified non-coding RNA is filed under the name Hevea brasiliensis (rubber tree). Lineage: Eukaryota; Viridiplantae; Streptophyta; Magnoliopsida; Malpighiales; Euphorbiaceae. The record is from RNAcentral.